This is a long non-coding RNA of Girardinichthys multiradiatus, 474 nucleotides long. RefSeq lists it as uncharacterized. The record is from RefSeq and is a predicted model, not a curated record. Lineage: Eukaryota; Metazoa; Chordata; Actinopteri; Cyprinodontiformes; Goodeidae. The transcript is spliced from 3 exons.
AGCAGCAUCAACACAAAGCUACCCUCUAUGGGGGCUUUGAAUCGUGACCAGACAGCCAGGAAAAACAGAGAAGGGAGCGUCGUGUCAUCCUCUCUGCACAGGAUGAGAAGCUCUGCUGAUGUGCGUUGUGUGCAGACUGCUCCUGCACACCUGUAAUCAAUCUAUGGCUGGAGCGCUUUUAAGGAACUGCGGGACGACCAUUCUUCGCCUGAUGCUCCACGUUGAGUGGUCAUGUGGAUCACAGCCUUGGAUUCUCAACCCAUCAUCUUCGGACAGCUAACUCAGGACCUCCAUUAACCAACUGCUUCUGCAAGCUCCUACUGCUUCCUCCAGCCUGCCCACUCUCCAACAAAUUGCUGAGACAUCACUUCCAGACUCUCUGGACCCCUGUAUCUCACAGAUUGUGCCCGAAACCCUACCAAGAUCUCUGCCGCCGGGAGACACUAAACCUGAGGACCGAACCCCGACAACCUG